ACGCUCGCUUUGGCAACACAUACACUAAAACUGGAAUGACAUAAAGAAGAUCAGCAUGGCCCCUGUGUAAGAAUAGCAUGCAAAUUUGUGAGGCAUUCCAUAGUAAA
Octodon degus (degu) is the source of this 107-nucleotide small nuclear RNA. The record is from Ensembl. NCBI's taxonomy places the organism in Eukaryota, Metazoa, Chordata, Mammalia, Rodentia, Octodontidae.